AUUGAACGCUGGCGGCAGGCUUAACACAUGCAAGUCGAGCGGAGCGAGGGUGCUUGCACCUUAGCUUAGCGGCGGACGGGUGAGUAAUGCUUAGGAAUCUGCCUAUUAGUGGGGGACAACAUUCCGAAAGGAAUGCUAAUACCGCAUACGCCCUACGGUGGAAAGCAGGGGAUCUUCGGACCUUGCGCUAAUAGAUGAGCCUAAGUCGGAUUAGCUAGUUGGUGGGGUAAAGGCCUACCAAGGCGACGAUCUGUAGCGGGUCGGGGAGGAUGAUCCGCCACACUGGGACUGAGACACGGCCCAGACUCCUACGGGAGGCAGCAGUGGGGAAUAUUGGACAAUGGGCGGAAGCCUGAUCCAGCCAUGCCGCGUGUGUGAAGAAGGCCUUUUGGUUGUAAAGCACUUUAAGCGAGGAGGAGGCUACUUAGAUUAAUACUCUGGGAUAGUGGACGUUACUCGCAGAAUAAGCACCGGCUAACUCUGUGCCAGCAGCCGCGGUAA
This 501-nucleotide ribosomal RNA is filed under the name uncultured bacterium. Its description in RNAcentral is "partial 16S ribosomal RNA". It matches the Rfam family "Bacterial small subunit ribosomal RNA", at positions 30 to 523 of the family's 1533-position model. The record is from RNAcentral.